This 112-nucleotide transfer RNA is filed under the name Tannerella sp. Its description in RNAcentral is "tRNA-Gly". Lineage: Bacteria; Pseudomonadati; Bacteroidota; Bacteroidia; Bacteroidales; Tannerellaceae. The record is from RNAcentral.
GGGGUAGUAUUGGAGUUCUGAAAUUACAAAAUAUCUGUAAUAUUCUGAUUAUAAGUAGCCAACAAACAGCUUCCCGAGCUGAGGGUCGCGAGUUCGAGCCUCGUUUGCCGCU